RNAcentral lists this ribosomal RNA (485 nucleotides) under uncultured bacterium. RNAcentral's name for it is "partial 16S ribosomal RNA". It matches the Rfam family "Bacterial small subunit ribosomal RNA", at positions 28 to 523 of the family's 1533-position model. The record is from RNAcentral.
GAUGAACGCUAGCGGCAGGCCUAAUACAUGCAAGUCGAACGGUGUCUUCGGACAUAGUGGCGCACGGGUGCGUAACACGUAUGCAACCUACCUUACAUUGGGGGAUAGCCUUUCGAAAGGGAGAUUAAUACCGCAUAAGACAGUAGCUGGGCAUCCAGCAGCUGUUAAAGAUUUAUCGAUGUAAGCUGGGCAUGCGUCCAAUUAGCUAGUUGGUGAGGUAACGGCUCACCAAGGCAAUGAUUGGUAGGGGAACUGAGAGGUCAAUCCCCCACACUGACACUGAGAUACGGGCCAGACUCCUACGGGAGGCAGCAGUAGGGAAUAUUGGGCAAUGGACGCAAGUCUGACCCAGCCAUGCCGCGUGCAGGAUGAAGGCGUUAUGCGUUGUAAACUGCUUUUAUACAGGAAGAAACUACUCUUGCGAGAGGCAUUGACGGUGCUGUAUGAAUAAGCACCGGCUAACUCCGUGCCAGCAGCCGCCGUAA